GGGAUACCUGUUUAGGUGAGGAAAUGUUUAUAAUUAUAAGUUAUUUUCUUUUCCUUUAAUUCCCUUCCCAAGUGCCGUUUUCCCCAAACCCGACGCCGAUCUCCUCCUCCCCGAUUCCCUCUGCCCGAGCCCCUCUCCGGCGAUUUCUCCUCUCCGCCUCUCGGUGUCGCCGGCGCAAGCAACCACCGGAGCUUUGCAGGGCGGGUUCUCCGUCCUCUCCCUCUUGAGGUGUGGAUCCCUCCUCCCUUCCUCUCCCUCCUCUUCCUGCCCUAGAUCGCCGACGGAGAGGUCUCGUCCACUGCGAUUGAGUUCUUGCUGAGUUACCGGAGAUAGGACGUUGGAGCUCGAAGGGUACCAAUCAUCUCCGGCAGAGUAGGCAUCCUGGUGGUUGUUUCUUGCGAGCGAUCGAGGUGAUCCGGCGGAGCUAGGGCACGGCAGCGGGGGAAUUGGUUCGCAUCUCUCUCGGUAGAUUGAGCUCUCUCAGUUCUUCUCCUCUAUCUGUUCACUGGAGUUUGACUUGCAACUCCAAAAUUGCUGGAUCGAAGUGGGCGACAUCACCAGGGAGAGUUUAAUUGAGAGGAAGCAUUGGACCAGUAUGUGGUGGAUCUUCCCAGUUGCCGGUCACUGCCAAGUCCAUUUCUUGGAGUUGUGGAGGUCUCGGCUGAAGAGUUAGGGAUCUGUUUGAGCUUCUGGCAGUGGGUUGUAGGGUUGUUAGCUACUGGUUUGCUGCCAUCCCUCAAGGUAAGUGUCUACCACUAGUUUUCUUCUUAGUGUGAAAUUGAUUCAUGGUUAAGGAAUUGGAAUUUAGCUUUGAUAUAUUGAUUUGGAUUGAAUCUUGGGCUGGUUAGCGGAUUUAGAAGGCUUUGUGAUGAGUUUGGAUUAGUGUUUGAUUGAUGAUGAAUUAUGUGGAAGAAUUUUGUGUGUUGGAUUUAUGAUGUUUGGUGGUCGAUCAAAUGGAUUAAAUGUUUAGGAUUUGGAAUUUGAUUGUGAUAAGUCGAUUCGUGAUGGUUAUUUAGUAAAUGAUUUAUGUAAAUAGACACAUGAUCGUUAUUGGUAUGUGUUGGAGUGAUUAGGGUUUGUAUUGGGUUGGUAUUUGUGGAUAUAGUGAUUGGUUAAUAUAGAUUGUUAUGUGAUCAUUCUUUGGAUUAUUGGAUUGAUUGUUGGUUGGGUUUUAAAUAUGAUGAGAUUGAUUAUCAGAUUUGUUGGUUAGAGGUGGGUCAUGAGGAUGAUUAUGCAUGUUUGAUGUAUGAUGUGUGGUGGAUAAUAAUGGGAUGUAAUGGAUGGAUAAUUUUCUGAAUUAGAGUAGUGUCCAUCUUGGAGUUUGUAUUAUGUUAUGGUUUGAUUAAUUAGGGGUUGGUUGCAUUUGAUGAGUUCAUGAUUGUUAUUAAGGAUCAUUGGAUUAUGUUUGGAUUUAGGAAGAGUUGAAUUUAAGGAUGUGCCUAUGAUUUACUUUGGGUUGGAUCAUUAGGUGGAAACUAAACAGGGUUACCUAAUCGACGUAGGAUUAGGUAUUGGGUUUAGUUUGUUGUUGAUUAUGUGAUUAGCUAAACAUUAUAUAUAUACCGUGUGA
This is a long non-coding RNA of Zingiber officinale, 1570 nucleotides long. RefSeq lists it as uncharacterized. The transcript is spliced from 3 exons. The record is from RefSeq and is a predicted model, not a curated record. Lineage: Eukaryota; Viridiplantae; Streptophyta; Magnoliopsida; Zingiberales; Zingiberaceae.